GGGGUUGUGGCUCAGUGGUAAGGUACUUGCCUCACAAGUGAGAGGCACUGAGUUCAAUCCUCAGCACCA
RNAcentral lists this transfer RNA (69 nucleotides) under Urocitellus parryii (Arctic ground squirrel). RNAcentral's name for it is "Spermophilus parryii (Arctic ground squirrel) tRNA". It matches the Rfam family "tRNA". Rfam says of the family: Transfer RNA (tRNA) molecules are approximately 80 nucleotides in length. Their secondary structure includes four short double-helical elements and three loops (D, anti-codon, and T loops). The record is from Rfam by way of RNAcentral. RNAcentral also lists the same sequence under 2 other names. Lineage: Eukaryota; Metazoa; Chordata; Mammalia; Rodentia; Sciuridae.